CCUACGGGGGGCUGCAGUAGGGAAUAUUGCUCAAUGGGGGAAACCCUGAAGCAGCAACGCCGCGUGGAGGAUGAAGGUUUUCGGAUUGUAAACUCCUUUUGUUAGAGAAGAUAAUGACGGUAUCUAACGAAUAAGCACCGGCUAACUCCGUGCCAGCAGCCGCGGUAAUACGGAGGGUGCAAGAGUUACUCGGAAUCACUGGGCGUAAAGGGCUCGUAGGCGGGAUAGCAAGUCAGAUGUGAAAUCCUAUGGCUUAACCAUAGAACUGCAUUUGAAACUGUGAUUCUAGAGUAUGGGAGAGGUAGGUGGAAUUCUUGGUGUAGGGGUAAAAUCCGUAGAGAUCAAGAGGAAUACUCAUGGCGAAGGCGACCUGCUAGAACAUAACUGACGCUGAUGCGCGAAAGCGUGGGGAGCAAACAGGAUUAGAUACCCUAGUAGUC
Molecule: ribosomal RNA, 440 nt
Filed under: uncultured bacterium
Lineage: Bacteria
Description: partial 16S ribosomal RNA
Rfam family: Bacterial small subunit ribosomal RNA
Source: RNAcentral